GGUAAUGGCUCACCAAGACGAUGAUGCAUAGCCGAGUUGAGAGACUGAUCGGCCACAAUGGGACUGAGACACGGCCCAUACUCCUACGGGAGGCAGCAGUAGGGAAUCUUCCACAAUGGGCGAAAGCCUGAUGGAGCAACGCCGCGUGUGUGAUGAAGGGUUUCGGCUCGUAAAACACUGUUGUAAGAGAAGAAUGACAUUGAGAGUAACUGUUCAAUGUGUGACGGUAUCUUACCAGAAAGGAACGGCUAAAUACGUGCCAGCAGCCGCGGUAAUACGUAUGUUCCAAGCGUUAUCCGGAUUUAUUGGGCGUAAAGCGAGCGCAGACGGUUAUUUAAGUCUGAAGUGAAAGCCCUCAGCUCAACUGAGG
This 370-nucleotide ribosomal RNA is filed under the name Weissella cibaria. RNAcentral's name for it is "bacterial SSU rRNA". It matches the Rfam family "Bacterial small subunit ribosomal RNA", at positions 256 to 618 of the family's 1533-position model. Lineage: Bacteria; Bacillati; Bacillota; Bacilli; Lactobacillales; Lactobacillaceae. The record is from RNAcentral.